RNAcentral lists this long non-coding RNA (270 nucleotides) under Amborella trichopoda. RNAcentral describes it as "long non-coding RNA (ATRI_LNC002956)". The record is from RNAcentral. Lineage: Eukaryota; Viridiplantae; Streptophyta; Magnoliopsida; Amborellales; Amborellaceae.
GUAGAUCUGAUAAAAGAAACCACUAGAGAAAAUGAUCGACUGACAACAAAAACCAAAAAGUUCACAGAGCCAACGUCUGAGAGAGUGUAGAUCUCCUUUCACCUCGCUGAAAAACUAUCGGCACCCCAAGAAACUCGCCAGAAAAAUAGCCGACAAUCAGAAACUCGCCGGAAAAUUAUUGGCAACCUGUCGAAAAACUGUCGGCCCGUAUGGCCAGAAAUCAAGUGGAUAUCAUCUCCCUCAAGCCCUGCGUUCUCAUCAUUGUUGAAG